AGAGCGAACGCUGGCGGCAGGCCUAACACAUGCAAGUCGAGCGCCCGUAGCAAUACGGGAGCGGCAGACGGGAUAGUAACACGUGGGAACGCGCCCUUCGGUUCGGAAUAACUCAGGGAAACUUGAGCUAAUACCGGAUACGCCCUUACGGGGAAAGAUUUAUUGCCGAAGGAACGGCCCGCGUCCGAUUAGCUAGUUGGUGAGGUAAUGGCUCACCAAGGCGACGAUCGGUAGCUGGUCUGAGAGGAUGACCAGCAUCACUGGGACUGAGACACGGCCCAGACUCCUACGGGAGGCAGCAGUGGGGAACAUUGGACAAUGGGCGCAAGCCUGAUCCAGCCAUGCCGCGUGGAUGAUGAAGGCCUUAGGGUUGUAAAGUCCUUUUAACGGGGAAGAUAAUGACGGUACCCGUAGAAUAAGCCCCGGCUAACUUCGUGCCAGCAGCCGC
Molecule: ribosomal RNA, 448 nt
Filed under: uncultured bacterium
Lineage: Bacteria
Description: SSU rRNA
Rfam family: Bacterial small subunit ribosomal RNA
Source: RNAcentral